AGAGUUUGAUCAUGGCUCAGGAUGAACGCUGGCGGCGUGCUUAACACAUGCAAGUCGAACGGAACUCUUUGGAUCGAGGCUUCGGCCAAGUGAAACUGAGUUUAGUGGCGGACGGGUGAGUAACGCGUGAGGAACCUGCCUUUCAGAGGGGAAUAACAGUUGGAAACGACUGCUAAUACCGCAUAACGCAUAGAGACCGCAUGAUCUUUAUGCCAAAGAUUUUAUCGCUGAGAGAUGGCCUCGCGUCUGAUUAGCUGGUUGGCGGGGUAACGGCCCACCAAGGCGACGAUCAGUAGCCGGACUGAGAGGUUGGCCGGCCACAUUGGGACUGAGAUACGGCCCAGACUCCUACGGGAGGCAGCAGUGGGGAAUAUUGGGCAAUGGGCGCAAGCCUGACCCAGCAACGCCGCGUGAAGGAAGAAGGUCUUCGGAUUGUAAACUUCUUUUAACAGGGACGAUAAUGACGGUACCUGUUGAAUAAGCUCCGGCUAACUACGUGCCAGCAGCCGCGGUAAUACGUAGGGAGCUAGCGUUAUCCGGAUUUACUGGGUGUAAAGGGCGUGUAGGCGGGACUGCAAGUCAGAUGUGAAAAACUCCGGGCUCAACUCGAGAGCCUGCAUUUGAAACUGUAGUUCUUGAGUGAUGGAGAGGCAAGCGGAAUUUCCCUAGUGUAGCGGCGAAUGCGUAGAUAUU
RNAcentral lists this ribosomal RNA (693 nucleotides) under uncultured bacterium. Its description in RNAcentral is "bacterial SSU rRNA". It matches the Rfam family "Bacterial small subunit ribosomal RNA", at positions 8 to 698 of the family's 1533-position model. The record is from RNAcentral.